CCUACGGGCGGCAGCAGUGAGGAAUAUUGGUCAAUGGGCGCGAGCCUGAACCAGCCAAGUCGCGUGAGGGAUGAAGGUUCUAUGGAUCGUAAACCUCUUUUAUAAGGGAAUAAAGUGUGGGACGCGUCCUAUUUUGUAUGUACCUUAUGAAUAAGGAUCGGCUAACUCCGUGCCAGCAGCCGCGGUAAUACGGAGGAUACGAGCGUUAUCCGGAUUUAUUGGGUUUAAAGGGUGCGUAGGCGGGCUUUUAAGUCAGCGGUGAAAGUCGGGGGCUCAACCCUAGCAUUGCCGUUGAAACUGGGGGGCUUGAGUGUGGUUGAGGCAGGCGGAAUGCGCGGUGUAGCGGUGAAAUGCAUAGAUAUCGCGCAGAACCCCGAUUGCGAAGGCAGCGUGCCAAGCCGUGACUGACGCUGAUGCACGAAAGCGUGGGGAUCGAACAGGAUUAGAUACCCGAGUAGUC
RNAcentral lists this ribosomal RNA (460 nucleotides) under uncultured bacterium. RNAcentral describes it as "partial 16S ribosomal RNA". It matches the Rfam family "Bacterial small subunit ribosomal RNA", at positions 338 to 795 of the family's 1533-position model. The record is from RNAcentral.